This 253-nucleotide ribosomal RNA is filed under the name uncultured bacterium. RNAcentral describes it as "partial 16S ribosomal RNA". It matches the Rfam family "Bacterial small subunit ribosomal RNA", at positions 524 to 776 of the family's 1533-position model. The record is from RNAcentral.
UACGUAGGGUGCAAGCGUUGUCCGGAAUUAUUGGGCGUAAAGAGCUCGUAGGCGGUUUGUCGCGUCUGUCGUGAAAGCUUGGGGCUUAACCCCAAGUCUGCGGUGGAUACGGGCAGACUAGAGGCAGGUAGGGGAGAACGGAAUUCCCGGUGUAGCGGUGAAAUGCGUAGAGAUCGGGAGGAACACCAGUGGCGAAGGCGGCAUCCUGGCCCUGUCCUGACGCUCAGGGGCGAAAGCGUGGGGAGCAAACCGG